GGUGAAUCACUGGGCGUAAAGGGCGCGUAGGCGGCUUUGUAAGUCGGGGGUGAAAGCCUGUGGCUCAACCACAGAAUUGCCUUCGAUACUGCAUGGCUUGAGACCGGAAGAGGUAAGUGGAACUGCGAGUGUAGAGGUGAAAUUCGUAGAUAUUCGCAAGAACACCAGUGGCGAAGGCGGCUUACUGGUCCGGUUCUGACGCUGAGGCGCGAAAGCGUGGGGAGCAAACAGG
RNAcentral lists this ribosomal RNA (232 nucleotides) under uncultured bacterium. Its description in RNAcentral is "partial 16S ribosomal RNA". It matches the Rfam family "Bacterial small subunit ribosomal RNA", at positions 548 to 776 of the family's 1533-position model. The record is from RNAcentral.